This 468-nucleotide ribosomal RNA is filed under the name uncultured bacterium. RNAcentral's name for it is "partial 16S ribosomal RNA". It matches the Rfam family "Bacterial small subunit ribosomal RNA", at positions 28 to 507 of the family's 1533-position model. The record is from RNAcentral.
GACGAACGCUGGCGGCGUGCUUAACACAUACAAGUCGAACGGAAAGGCCCUGCUUUUGUGGGGUGCUCGAGUGGCGAACGGGUGAGUAACACGUGAGUAACCUGCCCUUGACUUUGGGAUAACUUCAGGAAACUGGGGCUAAUACCGGAUAGGAGCUCCUGCUGCAUGGUGGGGGUUGGAAAGUUUCGGCGGUUGGGGAUGGACUCGCGGCUUAUCAGCUUGUUGGUGGGGUAGUGGCUUACCAAGGCUUUGACGGGUAGCCGGCCUGAGAGGGUGACCGGCCACAUUGGGACUGAGAUACGGCCCAGACUCCUACGGGAGGCAGCAGUGGGGAAUAUUGCACAAUGGGCGGAAGCCUGAUGCAGCAACGCCGCGUGCGGGAUGACGGCCUUCGGGUUGUAAACCGCUUUCGCCUGUGACGAAGCGUGAGUGACGGUAAUGGGUAAAGAAGCACCGGCUAACUACAUG